This 309-nucleotide ribosomal RNA is filed under the name Pseudopolydora kuwaiti. RNAcentral describes it as "partial 16S ribosomal RNA". The record is from RNAcentral. Lineage: Eukaryota; Metazoa; Annelida; Polychaeta; Spionida; Spionidae.
GCCCUAUUGUCAAUAUGGUCUCUCAAAUAGGAUUAGCCUGUUAUCCCUAAGGUAGCUUUUUCCAUUAAUCAAUCUUCUUGGAUCUGGAAUAAAUAUUACAAGAGAAGUUUUAGAUAUUCUCUAGUUGCCCCAACUAAACUUGGACUACAUAAAGUGAAGUAAAAAGUUAAGCUCUAUAGGGUCUUUUCGUCUUUUUGUUUAUUUCAGGUCUCUUCACCUGAGUGCCAAUUUUUAGAUGUUAAGAUGAGACAGCUUUGUUUUCGUUAAUUCAUUCAUUCUAGCCGCCAAUUAAGCGGCAAGUGAUUAUGC